CUCCGGUAGCACCGCUGGGACAUGGAAUAUAACCGUCAAUAAAUAAACCAAUGAAAAACAACCAGACUGGGAUCAGGGAACACACACUACAUCUUGAGAUGUGUGAGGGAGCACCAACUCUCUCACUAUAUUUCCUGAGCCCCUUUUUGUUCGGAAAUGUGGACAGACUCUCACACACAAUUUUCUUUGUUUUCUUCAUAGCUAGAUCAUGACAUUUGUUAUGAAUUAUUUGUUUGGACAUUAAAGUUGAUGAAACUGUGAGAUAUGAGGAUUGUUGUCUUUUCUUCAUCCUAAAAUCAAAAUAUUGCUCUAAUGUUGACUUUUUCUGGCAUUAUUGUUACACAUUUAUUUUUGAUAUCAUCUGACUUUUCCAGUGAAAUGAGCAAUAAUAAAUGUCUUCAGUCAAUAUGUGUUGUGGGUUUGAUGACCAUGCACAAAAAUCUACACUUUAGAGAGGACGCCGUAAAUGUUUGUCUAUUCAUUAAUCUAGUGAGAAAUACUUUGUGGCUAUUUCUAGGUGCCUUUCCAGAGAAUCAAACUGAUGUUGCGGUCACACUCUUCCACCACAUCCUCAAUCAUCGUUCCUGCUGCGCUGGCAUCUUCCUGCGCAACCCUGAAACCGAAACUAGAAUGUUAGCGCCAUUUUCUUUACAUUGUUUCUCGGGUGUACAUCUGUAGGCUGUCGGUGACACGUGAGCAGACAUGUCUGUUCCAGAGCUGCUCCUCGAGACUCUGCAAGGCCUGCGCAACGACGACUUUGAAACACUCAAGUGGUACCUCUCCAUGGACAUCUUGGAGGGCUGCAAACGAAUUCCUGUGGCAUCUCUGGAGAACGCACCCCGGACAAACACUGUGAGCAGGAUGAUACAGAGCUACGGCGAAGGGUCGGCUGUAAAGGUCACUGCUGCAAUCCUGAGGAAGAUGGGAAAUAACAAUGCUGCAGAUGAGUUAGAGAAAAGAUACGCAGGGAAAAACAGCUAAACCUUCUACCUCCUCCUCUGCUGUAGCACCUCCUGCAGCUCCUGUAGCACCUCCUGCAGCUCCUGUGGCACCUCCUGCAGCUCCUGUGGCACCUCUUGCUGCUCCCGCCACAAUUACAGCUCAGCAUGGAAGUGGGAUAAUCGCUCCGACAAUCACUGGUAGCACCAUUGAGACAUUGAAUAUAAUAUAUAAAUAAUAAACUAAUGAAAAACAACCAGACUGGGAUCAGGGAACACACACUAGAUUUUAAAUUACUGGUGUGAUUGACAUUUACCAUAGUUCACUAUGUACAAUUACAUGCUCCUAAUAAAAAGGAAACAUUUACACAUUAUACAACCUGUGGAAGUCUUCCAGCUUUCAUGUGCCAUUUCAAAGAACAUUUGCCAGCCAGUACAGUUAGAGGGCCCAGACACACCAAACCAACAUCAAAGAACCAGUGGCGAUGAGGACCGACUGCUGCACCACUUCAUGUCGCCUGUGUCUUGCACCUGAACACACUGCAAAGACUACAGCCAACAGCCAACUAGCAUGUACAUUCUGCGCCUGUGUGAGAGGAAAUAACUCCACAGCAGUGGGCAGCAGAAGUCAGUAAUCAUCACUGAAAAUGGAAAAUCUGAAAAACAGACCGGACAGAUUCAAGACAAGCCAGUUACCAUAUUAACAACACAACCCUGUGAUGAAAGAACAAAUUAUAUUUAGUUCAAUGAUUACCAGCUGUUUCUCCCACAGAGCUCAAAGGCUAGAAAUAAUCUUAUCUUAUAUAACAAGUUUGUUUCAAGUUUGUCUUCUCGUGCACUGAGCUGAACUACCAGUCACACAGGUUUCAUUUACUGACGGGCUCUGCCACCGAUUCAACAUGCUGAAUCAGCUGAAAAACUUGCAACAUGGCCGACUAGUGCCAAAGGUGCGGGACACUGCAGUAACCACAGCGACAGAUUCUCACUGACGGCCCUACAUUCACCCAUGGCUGACCUUCGGUUUCGUGUGUCGGGGCCCUUAGUCUCUGUAUGUAGCACUUCAAAGCAGCAAGCACAUAUGAUACAUGCUUGUUAAAACAUAAUCAUGUGUUUGUUGUAGCUUCUCCUGUGAAGUUUAUUUAAUUACAACUGUGUGAUCGUACACCAGCUUCCACCUAUGGGUGGUGUAAUGAUGACCAUAUCUAUUACAAUGAUGUGACACCAGGUCUGGCAGAAUAGACAUUCCCCUUUUUGGUGCUGUUUUUAAACCAAGUACUCUCAGUACAUUUGAAUUGAAUUUGUAUUUAAACUUAACUACAAAAUGGUUUUUAAAAAAAUAAAUAAACAACAACAAAACAA
Molecule: RNA transcript, 2297 nt
Organism: Epinephelus lanceolatus (giant grouper)
Lineage: Eukaryota; Metazoa; Chordata; Actinopteri; Perciformes; Serranidae
Gene name: caspase b-like
Source: RefSeq, a predicted model, not a curated record